Molecule: ribosomal RNA, 373 nt
Filed under: Loicia sp. JSPK4
Lineage: Eukaryota; Metazoa; Arthropoda; Insecta; Diptera; Mycetophilidae
Description: partial 12S ribosomal RNA
Source: RNAcentral
UAUUAUUUAAAUUGUAAAUUAAUUAAAUUGAGUAGUAUUAGUUAUGUUCUUUAAACUUAAUAAAUUUGGCGGUAUUUUAAUCUAUUCAGAGGAACUUGUUUUAUAAUUGAUAAUCCUCAUUAAAUCUUACUUAAUUUUAUUAAGUUUGUAUAUCGUCGUCAUAAGAAUUUCUUAAAAAAGUAAUAAUUUUCUAAAAUUUUUAUUUUAAAUAAUGUCAGAUAAAGGUGCAGCUUAUAAUUAAGAAAAAAUGAGUUAUAAUAAAAUUAUUUAAGUUGGAUAUAAUAAUUAAAUUUAUUAUUGAAAUUAGAUUUGAUAGUAAAUUAAUUUAUAAAAUUUAAUUGAUUUUAGUUCUAAAAUAUGUACAUAUUGCCCG